GUCGAGGGGUGGGCACUUCGGUGCUUGAGACCGGCGCACGGGUGCGUAACGCGUAUGCAAUCUGCCUUCCACAGAGGGAUAGCCCAGAGAAAUUUGGAUUAAUACCUCAUAGCAUCAUGACCCGGCAUCGGGAUAUGAUUAAAGUCACAACGGUGGAAGAUGAGCAUGCGUCCCAUUAGCUAGUUGGUAAGGUAACGGCUUACCAAGGCAACGAUGGGUAGGGGUCCUGAGAGGGAGAUCCCCCACACUGGUACUGAGACACGGACCAGACUCCUACGGGAGGCAGCAGUGAGGAAUAUUGGUCAAUGGGCGCAAGCCUGAACCAGCCAUGCCGCGUGCAGGAUGACGGUCCUAUGGAUUGUAAACUGCUUUUGUACGGGAAGAAACACUCCGACGUGUCGGAGCUUGACGGUACCGUAAGAAUAAGGAUCGGCUAACUCCGUGCCAGCAGCCGCGGUAAUACGGAGGAUCCAAGCGUUAUCCGGAAUCAUUGGGUUUAAAGGGUCCGUAGGCGGUCUUGUAAGUCAGUGGUGAAAGCCCAUCGCUCAACGGUGGAACGGCCAUUGAUACUGCAGGACUUGAAUUAUUGGGAAGUAACUAGAAUAUGUAGUGUAGCGGUGAAAUGCUUAGAGAUUACAUGGGAAUACCAAUUGCGAAAGGCAGGUUACUACCAGUGGAUUGACGCUGAUGG
This 691-nucleotide ribosomal RNA is filed under the name Flavobacterium sp. T92.09.P.CCF.OH.H.Kidney.D. Its description in RNAcentral is "bacterial SSU rRNA". It matches the Rfam family "Bacterial small subunit ribosomal RNA", at positions 61 to 752 of the family's 1533-position model. The record is from RNAcentral. Lineage: Bacteria; Pseudomonadati; Bacteroidota; Flavobacteriia; Flavobacteriales; Flavobacteriaceae.